Molecule: ribosomal RNA, 440 nt
Filed under: uncultured bacterium
Lineage: Bacteria
Description: partial 16S ribosomal RNA
Rfam family: Bacterial small subunit ribosomal RNA
Source: RNAcentral
CCUACGGGAGGCAGCAGUGGGGAAUAUUGCACAAUGGGGGAAACCCUGAUGCAGCGACGCCGCGUGAGUGAAGAAGUAUUUCGGUAUGUAAAGCUCUAUCAGCAGGGAAGAAAAUGACGGUACCUGAUUAAGAAGCCCCGGCUAACUACGUGCCAGCAGCCGCGGUAAUACGUAGGGGGCAAGCGUUAUCCGGAUUUACUGGGGGUAAAGGGAGCGUAGACGGGAGCACAAGUCUGGAGUGAACUGCCGGGGUUUAACCCCGGCACUGCUUUGGAAACUGUACAGCUAGAGUGGAGGAGAGGUAAGUGGAAUUCCUAGUGUAGCGGUGAAAUGCGUAGAUAUUAGGAGGAACACCAGUGGCGAAGGCGGCUUACUGGACUGUAACUGACGUUGAGGCUCGAAAGCGUGGGGAGCAAACAGGAUUAGAUACCCUUGUAGUC